This 217-nucleotide non-coding RNA is filed under the name Actinoplanes derwentensis. The record is from RNAcentral. Lineage: Bacteria; Bacillati; Actinomycetota; Actinomycetes; Micromonosporales; Micromonosporaceae.
AGCAUGUGCCGCGGUGCUGGUUCACCCUGCCCGCCAGGUGGGGUGUCGCAAGAGGGAACCCGGUGUGAAACCGGGACUGCCCCGCAGCGGUGAGUGGGAACGACCGCCGUCAUCGAGCACUGGGCCGCCCAUGCGGCCUGGGAAGCGACGGCCAAUAGGUGGCUGGAACACAUCCGCGCCCACGAGUCCGAAGACCUGCCGGCACUGCGCACACCGG